GCAUCAGCCAGCGUGACUUUGAAAAAGGCAGAAAACGAGAUGAAGUGGCGAAUGGGCAAAAAGGGCACAGCCUGGGGCCUGUUCUCACCUGGAAGGAAGCUGUAAGAAAUGGUGCCCACUUAUAUUUCAUUGCCCAGAAUUUUAUAACAGAAAAUGUAGCAUUUUAGACAUUUUAUAGAUACUGACACAGCAUUUUUUCUAAAAGAGUAGAUUUUAGCUUUUGGAAAGACAAUAACCCUUUCAAAUCACUGAAUUUGAUGCCACUGCAUCGGAUUCCAGCACCACCUAACAUCUUUGAGAAGCACCCAGUCUAGAGGAUGCUGGGGCAUCCCUUUUUAUCAGGCACUCUACUGUCUUGACUGGUCAGGGUUUUUUUUUUUUUCCUAAGGAGAAAGAGGAUAGUAGUCAUUUAGCAGUUUACGUGUUCGGAGGCCAUGUUACAGGGUUUGGACUUUUCUGGACAUAAUGAAAGAUUACAAAUGGUUGUGUUAAUCCCAGAGAUGCGAGGGGAAAGACCACCAGCCCAAACCAUCACGACCACAUUAAUUAAAGCAAGCUUUUUCUGCGUGUACCCAGGCUGUCUCCCUAAAGGCAGGCUUCAAGAGAUCAACGUUGGAAAUGGGGAAGAUACGGUUUUUAUAGCUCAGGGGUAGGUCAUUUCCAAAUGGGGUAUUUGGCAGGCAAAACAGGGUUACAGAAGCAGAAAAAGGUGGUCUUAACAAGGUAGUCAUGUCAACAGGCAGUCCUUACAACCUUCAGAAACAAAGGUAGGGUUCCAAAACGGUGGUCACUUUUUGAAACAAGCAUGGUUGCUGUUCCCUGGGACAGGCCACACAGAACCAUUUAUAGUGAAGGUUAUAGGGGGUGCACAGCAGGUUUAAUCCUUGAGACUCAGGUUUAAUCACAAACAGGAAUGAGUGAGCCUAGCUGGUCUUCACUGUCAAAUGACCUUCAGGCCUAAGAUGGAGGCAGGCAGGCUGCUUCAUCGGUUGGACUUUUGUUUAAAAGGUAAUUCUGACUGCAGUUUAGAGAAUAUACUGGAGAAGGCAGGCUCUAGAUGAACAAAGAAUACAGUAACAUAUAGAAGUCAUAACAGGUCCAGUAGACUGAAGUGAUCUUCCUACUCAGGCUCAAGCAGGGUAUAAACAAAUUGGCAUUAUUUCGUCCCAUAAGUACUGCAUGUUGGUAUUUAACAAGUGUGAAACACAAAUACAGUAUCUGAUACUUCUGUCACUGAGCUCAGUGUCGUGGAGCCCAAAUGUAAAUUUGCAGCUAUGACUCGUGCUGCAAAACAGCCAGCCUAUUCAGAGAGGUCACGGGAGUCAGUCUCCCUUGAGGAAGUGACAUUGGAGCUGAGACCUGAAUAACAAGUAGGAAGAAAGAAGCUAGGGGAAGAGAGAAUGGCUGGAAGGCCCCUUGAGGCUGAUUACAGGGAUCAAGUGCCCCGAGACCAGAAGAUUGCAUUUAUCAAAAUAGGAGAUAAGAGUUGGGGCAGAGUGGCAGGAUGUAGGAAGGUGGAGGGUUUAGAAGACUUCAGAGAUAAACAUGGACACCUUUUUAUUGGGUGAGUUUGGAAGGAAGGGGACUAAGGUACAGUAUUGUUUCUACCUCAUGCCGCAGGGUGAUUGUGGGGUGUGGGUUGAAAUUGUAAUAAAUUUGUUUAGAUG
This 1667-nucleotide long non-coding RNA is filed under the name Mus musculus (house mouse). RNAcentral's name for it is "long non-coding RNA chr2:164491650-164493317". Lineage: Eukaryota; Metazoa; Chordata; Mammalia; Rodentia; Muridae. The record is from RNAcentral.